CCUACGGGAGGCAGCAGUGAGGAAUAUUGGUCAAUGGACGAGAGUCUGAACCAGCCAAGUAGCGUGAAGGAUGACUGCCCUAUGGGUUGUAAACUUCUUUUAUAUGGGAAUAAAAUGUUCCACGUGUGGGAUUUUGUAUGUACCAAAUGAAUAAGGAUCGGCUAAAUCCGUGCCAGCAGCCGCGGUAAUACGGAGGAUCCGAGCGUUAUCCGGAUUUAUUGGGUUUAAAGGGAGCGUAGGUGGAUUGUUAAGUCAGUUGUGAAAGUUUGCGGCUCAACCGUAAAAUUGCAGUUGAAACUGGCAGGCUUGAGUACAGUAGAGGUGGGCGGAAGUCGUGGUGUAGCGGUGAAAUGCUUAGAUAUCACGAAGAACUCCGAUUGCGAAGGCAGCUCACUGGACUGCAACUGACACUGAGGCUCGAAAGUGUGGGUAUCAAACAGGAUUAGAUACCCGAGUAGUC
RNAcentral lists this ribosomal RNA (460 nucleotides) under uncultured bacterium. Its description in RNAcentral is "partial 16S ribosomal RNA". It matches the Rfam family "Bacterial small subunit ribosomal RNA", at positions 338 to 795 of the family's 1533-position model. The record is from RNAcentral.